RNAcentral lists this ribosomal RNA (429 nucleotides) under Chloroflexota bacterium. RNAcentral describes it as "Chloroflexi bacterium partial 16S ribosomal RNA". It matches the Rfam family "Bacterial small subunit ribosomal RNA", at positions 355 to 776 of the family's 1533-position model. The record is from RNAcentral. Lineage: Bacteria; Bacillati; Chloroflexota.
UGGGGAAUAUUGCACAAUGGGCGCAAGCCUGAUGCAGCCAUGCCGCGUGUGUGAAGAAGGCCUUCGGGUUGUAAAGCACUUUCAUCGGGGAGGAAGGCGGUGAGGUUAAUAACCUCAUCGAUUGACGUUACCCGCAGAAGAAGCACCGGCUAACUCCGUGCCAGCAGCCGCGGUAAUACGGAGGGUGCAAGCGUUAAUCGGAAUUACUGGGCGUAAAGCGCACGCAGGCGGUUUGUUAAGUCAGCUGUGAAAUCCCAGGGCGCAAGCUGGGAACUGAAUCUGACACUGGCAAGCUGGAGUCUAGCAGAGGGGGGUAGAAUUCCAGGUGGAGCGGUGAAAUGCAUAGAGAACGGGAGGAAUACCGGUGGCGAAAGCGGCACCCUGGACGAAGACAGACGCUAAGGUGCGAAAGCGUGGGGAGCAAACAGG